This 72-nucleotide transfer RNA is filed under the name Trichonephila inaurata madagascariensis. It matches the Rfam family "tRNA". From Rfam's summary of the family: Transfer RNA (tRNA) molecules are approximately 80 nucleotides in length. Their secondary structure includes four short double-helical elements and three loops (D, anti-codon, and T loops). The record is from Rfam by way of RNAcentral. Lineage: Eukaryota; Metazoa; Arthropoda; Arachnida; Araneae; Nephilidae.
GGGCCAGUGGCGCAAUGGAUAACGCCCCUGACUACGGAUCAGGAAAUUCCAGGUUCGAAUCCGGCUGGCUCG